Molecule: ribosomal RNA, 409 nt
Filed under: bacterium
Lineage: Bacteria
Description: partial 16S ribosomal RNA
Rfam family: Bacterial small subunit ribosomal RNA
Source: RNAcentral
UGGGGAAUAUUGCACAAUGGGCGAAAGCCUGAUGCAGCGACGCCGCGUGAGGGAUGACGGCCUUCGGGUUGUAAACCUCUUUCAGUAGGGACGAAGCGCAAGUGACGGUACCUGCAGAAGAAGCACCGGCUAACUACGUGCCAGCAGCCGCGGUAAUACGUAGGGUGCGAGCGUUGUCCGGAAUUACUGGGCGUAAAGAGCUCGUAGGCGGUUUGUCACGUCGUCUGUGAAAUCCUAGGGCUUAACCCUGGACGUGCAGGCGAUACGGGCUGACUUGAGUACUACAGGGGAGACUGGAAUUUCUGGUGUAGCGGUGGAAUGCACAGAUAUCAGGAAGAACACCAAUGGCGAAGGCAGGUCUCUGGGUAGUAACUGACGCUGAGGAGCGAAAGCAUGGGUAGCGAACAGG